GACGAACGCGGCGGCGUGCCUAAUACAUGCAAGUAGAACGCUGAAGAGAGGAGCUUGCUCUUCUUGGAUGAGUUGCGAACGGGUGAGUAACGCGUAGGUAACCUGCCUGGUAGCGGGGGAUAACUAUUGGAAACGAUAGCUAAUACCGCAUAAAAUUGAUUAUCGCAUGAUAAUCAAUUGAAAGGUGCAAAUGCAUCACUACCAGAUGGACCUGCGUUGUAUUAGCUAGUUGGUGGGGUAACGGCUCACCAAGGCGACGAUACAUAGCCGACCUGAGAGGGUGAUCGGCCACACUGGGACUGAGACACGGCCCAGACUCCUACGGGAGGCAGCAGUAGGGAAUCUUCGGCAAUGGACGGAAGUCUGACCGAGCAACGCCCGCGUGAGUGAAAGAAAGGUUUUUCGGGAUUCGUAAAAAGCUCUGUUGUAAAGAGAAAGAAACGAAGUGUG
This 450-nucleotide ribosomal RNA is filed under the name Streptococcus sp. oral taxon 071. Its description in RNAcentral is "bacterial SSU rRNA". It matches the Rfam family "Bacterial small subunit ribosomal RNA", at positions 28 to 461 of the family's 1533-position model. Lineage: Bacteria; Bacillati; Bacillota; Bacilli; Lactobacillales; Streptococcaceae. The record is from RNAcentral.